RNAcentral lists this non-coding RNA (24 nucleotides) under Arabidopsis thaliana (thale cress). Lineage: Eukaryota; Viridiplantae; Streptophyta; Magnoliopsida; Brassicales; Brassicaceae. The record is from RNAcentral.
GGUACUGUGCAUGUGCGAGUUAUA